Rhipicephalus sanguineus (brown dog tick) is the source of this 513-nucleotide long non-coding RNA. RefSeq lists it as uncharacterized. Lineage: Eukaryota; Metazoa; Arthropoda; Arachnida; Ixodida; Ixodidae. The transcript has 4 exons. The record is from RefSeq and is a predicted model, not a curated record.
AAUGUAAAAAUGUUCUCGUAGCCUUCGCAUCGCUGGGGGUGCAUAUCCUGAUAACAAUAAGUUUUCUUCCAGUGAGACUGCGGAUGGCACCUUGGAUGAAGCAUAUAUCGAGCUGCCCUGCCUCGUCACACUUGCCUCUGACGACAACACUGAAAAUGGGAGCACCGGAGUACAGCUUCCGAAGUCCAACAACGUCGAAGAGGCAUUCCCGAGUACAAUCGGCGAGGACAUGGUGGUAUUGCUGGUAACCGAUAAGAAGAUUUCUGAUGGAAAGUGCAAUGGAGAACAGAACACUACGAACUACCAGGACGGCGACACAGCUGUCCACUACAUCAGUCCUCACGAAUCAUUGUCGCACAAUGACGAACCACUACCUUUGACUUCAAAGAAGAUGCAUAGGGCCAAAAAGGAAACCGGUCUUCCGCUUCCAGUGUCCAGUAGCGGCGCCCUCGUUGACACGGUUCCCAGCACAAGCCGUGUGGACAAGAACACAACUGCAUUGGCGAGAAACAA